CACAUUGUUGGAAUAGGAUACUUUGACAUUCAGUCACGAGUUAUCCUGAGAAUUUCAAAAUGUCAGUAGGCCAUUGCUCUUCUGAAUUAACUAGUGCAGGAUCUACUGUGCUUUUGCUUUGCGUUGCCUGCAUGUAUUACAUAGGAAACACACACAUAAGCACAACAUUCCAUAAAUGUUUCAUAAUGCUUGUAGAUAGAUGAUAUCAGUGUUAAUUUAUUUUCAGGUAAAGCUCAGGUUUCCAUAGCACAAAAUUUUGCUUGGAACUACUGACUGCAUGAUAUUUGGCCCUGUGGUGUUACCAUCAAGCUGAACUGCUUUAAUUCUCUUCCGGUUUGUAAUUAUAAACUAUUUGGAACAUAUUUAUGAACAUCUGAAAGAACAAAAGAGGUAUUUGAAAGUAUUACAUAGUUUGUAGCAUGGUUGCGCAAAUGCUGGAUCCUCACUUAGUACAGGCGGUUCCUGACCAAAUAUCAUCUCGCAGCUCAUAUCAUCAAAAUCUGCAAGAUACAGAAGGUUGUGGGUGUUAAAACCAUAUAUAAAAAUAUAAACUCAGACAUGUCACUGAUUCUGCCUGGUUAAUUGUUGUUCUGUAUAUGUACGUUGCUGGUAAUAAAUUGCUCGUAAGCACAACUUUAAAUUACAGUAUCUGAUUGAUAUAUGCUGACUAAAUGAUUUAUGGAAACUAGGAACUUUGCAUACAGAUGACAGGUCUUCUAGAAAGAAUCACCUCUACGGCUAUCCCCUUAUCGAGAUAUCAAUGACGGUGGGAUUGCAAACCACUGAUAACUCAAGCUUAAUUAGAGUCUAACUAUUAGGUAAUUUUCUUUUGAAGUGCAAUUAAAUAGCUCUACAACUCUACCUUGUUAUAAUGGCUAUGCUGCACCCUUAGUGGUUCAUUCGUGGGACCUUCCAUUGAGUUGUUUAGUAAGCUAUGCAUAUAUUAGUGUGUGUACUGUUGCGUUGUCUGGUGAUCACCCUUUUUAUUGUCUCAUGUUGGCUAGUGGUUUAAUUUAAGUGGAAAGUAUGGUUUUUUAAUUUCUAUGAUGAUAAAAUAGCUGUUUUAAUUCAAUUUAAUAAUUGUAUUUUCUAUGCCAAAGACAUAGUUUAUAUAUGUACCCUUUGUGUUGGAGUAUAUAUAAACAAAACAAAUAGGUAUGCGAACCUGAGGAUAUAUUAAUUGGCAUAUAUAGCUAUUGCAUGAGCUUCCUGUUGUUAAAGGUACUUACUGGGAACCAUGUUGAAUGGUACUCCAAAGGAGUCCUUAAUGAACGCUUGCGAAGGCAUCUUACAUAGAUUAGUGCACAUAUUGACGCAAUUACUCUCCUCCAAAAACCUGAAACUUAUAACCACAAUGUAAGAUUGUGACAUCUAUGAUGCCAAUGAUGAUGUUAAUAAUGACUUGAUUGAUAGAACUAUCAUGAUGCAAGAAUAGGAAAAGGAGUAAAGGGAAUUGGAAUCAUUGGCACAGAAGAAAACUGUCCAAAUUAACUUCACUCGUUUCUGCAAGGUACUGAUUAUGCCUACUUAUAGAAUUUUGAGUGGAUCCCUAGGGGGUCCAGAUGGCCUGGCUUACGGAACUGGUUCCUCUAUACCAGAGUGGAACUUCCUCCCACAAACUAAUAGAUGUUACACUCUAUGGAAGGCAGUAAGUUACUGUACCUGCAUUUUUUGAUGUGGACAACAUUCUUUUCUUCUUUCCCAUUGAACUUUGAUUCCCUCACCUUGUAUGAUAAAAUAAUACAUUAUUAGUAGAAAUUUUAAGAAAAUAUAAGGCAUUGUACUUGUCAUCUGAUCUCCUUGAUGCACAGGAUCUUAUUUUUUUCUAUUUGCCAAUGCACACACUGUCACAAAUUAAUACCUAAAUACGGUGCAACACUUGGAGUUGCUGUUGACCAGUGCAACUUGGUAAGGUUUACACAACUGUAGUAUGCAUAGUUUAUGGUUCUAGAUAGUAUGUUAGUAAGUACUUAAUCUGGACCUCCUUAUGAAAAUUAUAUCUAUUGAUUGCACAUCAGAGUAAUUGGUACCUCGCAAGGGCCAACUAGCCAGGAAAAGAAUAUUGUGGUGAACACUGCAAAAAAUUCCCUCUGAAGUUUAGAUGGUGGUAGCACCGUCCUGAUCUGCCAUUAAAAAUUACACCAACAUUAGAUAUCUUUGAUGCUAUUUCUGACAUAAUAAUUAAGUAUGUCUACAUGUUUAUGUUAAAUAUGUAUGGCUUCANGUCAUGAUGGACGAACUUACCAAUGAGAGAAUAGGCUUUGGAAAAGCUUUCUCCAGAGCUUGAGUGACCAGUUCUAGUUGUUGGUCUGGGCUAAAGUGCUGCCUAGCUACUACUGUGGCCUCGACCAGACCUUCAUAUCCCUCCUUGCUGCUCUUGAAUCCUGUAGUUCAAUAGAGAUUAUGUGUAUACGUUCUACCUUCAGUUCAACCUCAACCACUACAUAUAUAUUUAUCAUCUAAAAUGAAGCUGCAGCUAACCUAUAGUUUCUUGUACACUCCGCGAUAGAUGAUUAAUAGCAAUUCUGUCAAACCAGUUGUCAUUAUACUCCGUCUUUGUAGUUGCUAACCGUUCUAAAUUUUCUGUAGGCCUUGUCAUCACAGCCACAAUACGAGGAGCAUAUCUAUGUUUCUGCAUGUUGCGUUGGUGCAUACGUGGCAAGGUCGGGCUCGCGACAUGCUGAACAAGCCUUGCAUCCAUUUUUACAACUACCAAGGUGUGUUUCCUGAAUCCUGAGAUUUGAUACCUUCUUUCUUGAUUCUUAAGUGGUGAAAUUUAAGAGUUUUGAACACUCUGAGGAAGCUGCAUAAAACAAAAGAGUAUGGUAGAGCAUAUUAACCACAAAUAUUCCUCAUGUAUGAAACACUUAAAUCAAAACAAAAGAUAAGCCAUGCUGAAAAGUAGACAGUUGGCAUAGUUCACAAGAGCCACACCAUUACGUCAUUCAUGUCCGGCCUAAAAUGAUUCUUGCUAGUUGGUGAAUUUUUUAAUACAGGCACAACAGAUAUGGCCAGUCAUAUAAUACAAUUAUACAUUAAUCUUGUGGGCCCCGCAUGUUAAUCAAAUUAUGAUUACUCCAUUUUAUCUAAAAUUACCCAAGAAGUGCUUCAUAUUAAACGGUCAAGAUGAGAGGACUGCUCAGGUGAAUUUACCAAUCAAGUGAAAUAUUUUAUUAUUAUUUUUUUAAUUUGGAUAUGAUUUCUUUGGUUCAGUGAACUUCAUAACAGCAAAGGAAUCUCUAAUGUUAUGAGAAAUAUUGCGGGUAAUAGUUUGGUACAAAAUUAUGACGUGGAUAAUGUAGCAGUUUGAGGCGAGAGAGAUUAAUGUGAAC
Molecule: long non-coding RNA, 3332 nt
Filed under: Daucus carota (carrot)
Lineage: Eukaryota; Viridiplantae; Streptophyta; Magnoliopsida; Apiales; Apiaceae
Description: long non-coding RNA (DCAR_LNC002571)
Source: RNAcentral